GUAUUUGUCACAUCAGGUUCCUCAUUUUCUGUGUGCAUGACCUCUCUGACGUGGUAACACCUGUGCAAAGCUUGAGCACAGCAUACGUAUCAUGCAGCAAACUGAUGUUGGAACGGCGAGUGUAAAUGUAAGGAUACAGGCUAUUGCUGUCCAAGCACUUACACGGUGGCAGGAGAAGUUAUGCUUGAAGUAAGACACACCCACACAGAUGUACUUCACCUGCUCUCCAUCAGGAGACUAACAAAAGAUGAGCAAUUUGGAUUUCUGACGACAAGAAUGAGAACCAUCCUGUUACCGUGUGAUCUUAUAGCCGAGCGACUAAAUUUCACACUGACAUUGGAUGAAGUUCUAUUUUCCUGAUUCAGCCUGUCAUUGACUUCAACAAGGAAAAGACUAUGAAACACAGACUUCACACACAUGUUUGG
Long non-coding RNA from Lutra lutra (Eurasian river otter), 425 nucleotides. RefSeq lists it as uncharacterized. The transcript has 4 exons. The record is from RefSeq and is a predicted model, not a curated record. NCBI's taxonomy places the organism in Eukaryota, Metazoa, Chordata, Mammalia, Carnivora, Mustelidae.